Molecule: microRNA precursor, 113 nt
Filed under: Ictidomys tridecemlineatus (thirteen-lined ground squirrel)
Lineage: Eukaryota; Metazoa; Chordata; Mammalia; Rodentia; Sciuridae
Description: miRNA (ENSSTOG00000034099.1)
Source: RNAcentral
GACAUCUGUUGUUUGAGUACAGAUUCAUUAUUUCUUUAAGUACAUUAGUGUAUGUGUGUGUUUGUGUGUAUAUUUUACACAAAUAUACAUAUAUGUAUGUGUAUACAUAUUAC